This 274-nucleotide ribosomal RNA is filed under the name uncultured bacterium. Its description in RNAcentral is "partial 16S ribosomal RNA". It matches the Rfam family "Bacterial small subunit ribosomal RNA", at positions 333 to 604 of the family's 1533-position model. The record is from RNAcentral.
UGGUGCCUACGGGACGCAGCAGUGAGGAAUAUUGGUCAAUGGACGGAAGUCUAAACCAGCCAUGCCGCGUGCAGGAAGACGGCUCUAUGAGUUGUAAACUGCUUUUGUACAAGGGUAAACCUGAAUACGUGUAUUCAGCUGCAAGUACUGUACGAAUAAGGAUCGGCUAACUCCGUGCCAGCCGCCGCGGUAAUACGGAGGAUCCCAGCGUUAUCCGGAUUUAUUGGGUUUAAAGGGCGCGUAGGCGGAUUGAUAAGUUAGAGGUGAAAUGUCC